UAUCAGUUUUAGCUUAAGUAGUCAGA
Molecule: non-coding RNA, 26 nt
Filed under: Mus musculus (house mouse)
Lineage: Eukaryota; Metazoa; Chordata; Mammalia; Rodentia; Muridae
Source: RNAcentral